CCUACGGGGCGCAGCAGUGAGGAAUAUUGGUCAAUGGACGAGAGUCUGAACCAGCCAAGUAGCGUGAAGGAUGACUGCCCUAUGGGUUGUAAACUUCUUUUAUAUGGGAAUAAAAUGUUCCACGUGUGGGAUUUUGUAUGUACCAUAUGAAUAAGGAUCGGCUAACUCCGUGCCAGCAGCCGCGGUAAUACGGAGGAUCCGAGCGUUAUCCGGAUUUAUUGGGUUUAAAGGGAGCGUAGGUGGAUUGUUAAGUCAGUUGUGAAAGUUUGCGGCUCAACCGUAAAAUUGCAGUUGAAACUGGCAGUCUAGAGUACAGUAGAGGUGGGCGGAAUUCGUGGUGUAGCGGUGAAAUGCUUAGAUAUCACGAAGAACUCCGAUUGCGAAGGCAGCUCACUGGACUGCAACUGACACUGAGGCUCGAAAGUGUGGGUAUCAAACAGGAUUAGAUACCCCAGUAGUC
This 460-nucleotide ribosomal RNA is filed under the name uncultured bacterium. RNAcentral describes it as "partial 16S ribosomal RNA". It matches the Rfam family "Bacterial small subunit ribosomal RNA", at positions 338 to 795 of the family's 1533-position model. The record is from RNAcentral.